This 596-nucleotide ribosomal RNA is filed under the name Microbacterium arborescens. RNAcentral's name for it is "bacterial SSU rRNA". It matches the Rfam family "Bacterial small subunit ribosomal RNA", at positions 281 to 885 of the family's 1533-position model. Lineage: Bacteria; Bacillati; Actinomycetota; Actinomycetes; Micrococcales; Microbacteriaceae. The record is from RNAcentral.
GGGUAGCCGGCCUGAGAGGGUGACCGGCCACACUGGGACUGAGACACGCGUCCCAGACUCCUACGGGAGGCAGCAGUGGGGAAUAUUGCACAAUGGGCGAAAGCCUGAUGCAGCAACGCCGCGUGAGGGAUGACGGCCUUCGGGUUGUAAACCUCUUUUAGCAGGGAAGAAGCGAAAGUGACGGUACCUGCAGAAAAAGCGCCGGCUAACUACGUGCCAGCAGCCGCGGUAAUACGUAGGGCGCAAGCGUUAUCCGGAAUUAUUGGGCGUAAAGAGCUCGUAGGCGGUCUGUCGCGUCUGCUGUGAAAACCCGAGGCUCAACCUCGGGCCUGCAGUGGGUACGGGCAGACUAGAGUGCGGUAGGGGAGAUUGGAAUUCCUGGUGUAGCGGUGGAAUGCGCAGAUAUCAGGAGGAACACCGAUGGCGAAGGCAGAUCUCUGGGCCGUAACUGACGCUGAGGAGCGAAAGGGUGGGGAGCAAACAGGCUUAGAUACCCUGGUAGUCCACCCCGUAAACGUUGGGAACUAGUUGUGGGGUCCAUUCCACGGAUUCCGUGACGCAGCUAACGCAUUAAGUUCCCCGCCUGGGGAGUACGG